Molecule: transfer RNA, 90 nt
Filed under: Clostridia bacterium
Lineage: Bacteria; Bacillati; Bacillota; Clostridia
Also listed under: 2 other names
Description: tRNA-Ser
Rfam family: tRNA
About the family: Transfer RNA (tRNA) molecules are approximately 80 nucleotides in length.
Source: RNAcentral
GGAGAGUUACCCAAGUGGUUAAGGGGCUCCCCUGCUAAGGGAGUAGCACUGUAACAGGUGGCCUGGGUUCGAACCCCAGACUCUCCGCCA